AGCUAUCAAAUCUCAGUUACUUCUGGGAAUUUUUGUGUUUUUGGUACAGAAAAUGAAAACCACUUUCCACGCUGCGACAGAGAUCCAGGAAAUGGUAAUCAAGUCUAAGAGACUUCCAGGAAUACCAUUCUAUAUCCGACAAUAGCAGAAAGCUCUUGUGUCGGUCAGAAAUGAAUGCAAAUGAAGGAAGAGAGUAGCCUGCAACAGCAGGUUGCACUAUGGUUUCCCAUCGGAUGUACCGUACAGUAAACCUGCGAUGAGGACGAUCACUGAUCGAUCAAGGGUAUCAAAAGACUCGACCCGCCAAUCGAUAGCCUAUUUUUGAUUUCCUGCUGGGCUUUCUGAUUUCUUCUCUUUCUGUUCUUUGUUCUUGUUCUUGUGCCUUGCUGUACCGUUCCGUUGCGCUCCGCACUUGCUCUUGCUCUUUGUUGUGCUCUCUCCGCUUGUUGCUGUUGAUGCGCUUUCAUCUGGCUCGUUUCUCGCCCCUUUUGAUUUUGCUUUUGAUUUUGCCUUUGCUGUUGUUGUUCUCUUUGUCUUUGGCUUUUCGUUCUAUUUGCUAAUUUACGAAUCAGUUGAAGCUUGAUUGGUCAUCGGGAGCACAGAGCGCUGGGGGGCGGGGGACCGGGGGGCUAUUGUGUGCGCUCUUAUGCUGCCAUGAGAGGCAACAGGUUUUCAUUGGCAUUACCGCCCUGCCUGCUCUCCCCCCUGACGCUCACACUGCUGAUGCUCUGCUCUGCUCUCCUCUGCUCUGCUCUCCUCUCACUCUGUCUCUGUGGUUGUGAUUCGCGCGUGCCGCAUUCAAGUCGCUGCUUAAUUGAACAGUUAUUGAACAAUUAUUCCCAGUUCGAUCCUGUUUUGGGAGGCAAUGCCAUGGCCUCAGUGGCCUUCCUCCAUUUCCACACUUCUGAUGAUGAGCGGGACGGGAGCUGCUUCUCCUUCGUUACGAAUGCAUGAUUUCGAUUCAAAUCGAUGCAAAUAUUCAGUAAAAUUGCAAGCCAGUUCACAUAUUGUUCGUGUUAUUCUGUGAAAUCGAAUGUUCCUACCUUUUCGUUAACCUACCUUGCCCUCAAACUCGAAAUCUUCGACUCCCAACCGCACCGCUCUCUCGUUAUCAGUGCAUCUCUGUUUAAUCCCCGCUCUUUCAAUGGAUUGAAUGGAUCUUAUUCCCUCUCUUUUAGUGGAUUGAAUGGAUCUUAGUCCCUCUCUUUCAAUAAAUACAUACGUUCUCAUUCCCUGUUCAUACUCUUUCCAAUGGAUCUGUGUAGCAUCUUGCGGCUGGUCAGUUUUGAGAUUCUGGAAUGGGAAUGGGGAUUAUCUCUAUGGAAUAAAAUUAAUUAUUUUCUGCUGCAGUCGAUUCAUUUUAUAUAAGAACGAGGCGGCAUGUGCUACAGCGGUACAGUUGCCUCCUGCGCGUGUUGUGACAAGUUGUUUACUCUCGUAGUACUAGUACUUCUCGCGCGGUCUUUUCUAGGUCUUGUGGGCUUUUGGCAGCGCUUCCACUCAUUAUUCGCUCGAAGAUCAAGGGUUAAAGACGACACACAGCAUUUGCACGAAAAACUGCAAUGGAAAAUUCCACUCGCCCAUGAGUGGCUUUUGAUUGCGUGUCCCGUCCCUUUGCCACCGGCCCCGGCCAGGCCCUACCCCAACAGCUGUUCCAUUCGGAGAAACGGGCAUUUGAUCGAUAAGAACGGCACCAUGGAAAGAAGCAUACGAUAUGUACACAUGUACAUAUGUACAAGUAGGUGUACAAUUAUUUGAGCUUGGACAUUGAGCCCUGGCUUAAAAUUAAGGUGACGAGAGAUACAGAAAGAGUGUGGGUGGAUACCUGACUCCAAAAUGCAGGCAUUAACACUUGGAAAAUCGUAUACCCCGAUGGAGGAAAGAGUUUCUCAUUCAAUAUGUAGAGUUCCCUCCCGUCUGGCAUCUGGGAUCGGAUGCAUUUGGAUAUGGAAUUGUAAUCGAAACUAAGGAAGAAGAUUCCAGAAACUUUGGAUGGUCGGGCAUGGGGCUCGAUGUCACGCCGACGGGCUUAUGUAAGUGCCUGGUUUUGGCUCUAUUACACAUAUGAUUCAAUUCCGUUUACUUCCAUUCCCACCCUCAUCAAGUGGGCAUGAUGAUCGUAGAAUUGUGAAAUUGCUUGCAAGCGACGUCAAUGCGUCGCUAAACAUGUGAGAUAAUAAGAAGGUACCAGUACGAGUACGAUUGUUACACGGGCUGGAUAAAUCAACCUACCGCAAUUCGAAUUGAUAAUCAUUUUCCAAACAGGAAACUAUAGAUCAACUUAUCAAAGUCAAAUUGUAAUCGUUUCAUAUCCAUAUGAUAUGAAUAAUUUACUGAAUUAUCAAAUUUUGUUUAUCCGAAAAUUUUAGAACGAGUUGGUACAUGCAAUUCUCAUUCAUUGCUUGUUUACCCAUGGUAAUUUUCUUAUAUUUAUUUUUUUCUUGAAAUUUAAUUCGCAUUGUACGCUUUAGUAUACAGUAUGUCAGCUCCAAUUAAAUAAUUACGUUUAUUUCUAAUUUUUGAUGUGUUUGUCGAUUUCAUUUAAAUUUGCCAUUCAUU
This 2559-nucleotide unclassified non-coding RNA is filed under the name Drosophila pseudoobscura pseudoobscura. RNAcentral's name for it is "GA17725". Lineage: Eukaryota; Metazoa; Arthropoda; Insecta; Diptera; Drosophilidae. The record is from RNAcentral.